AGACUUUCUCUGGCCUCAUCAUGUCUUGGAUCUCAUGAAAUUUGGCAGUUGAAGUGAGGUGCAAGAAAGAAUUAAGGCACUUGAAUGAGAUUAAUCUAGGAAGACUUCCUGAAAUAGGCAAGGAAGAGCAGAACAAGCUCAGCUGGGAUGAAGACAAAAGUGUCUCCCCUACCUGCCCAGUGACAUAGAAACCCUAAGGACCCCAAGAGACCCAGGCAGAAGCAGAGCAGGCAGAGCCCCAUGCCCCAUCUCAAGGAUAUGAAGAGUGAGGAAAAGUUAUGUUCUGACAGCAUUGGGGGUGGAGAAGGUGUUCAAACUGACCCACAGAAUGAAGUAUGGCUAGAAGAGGCAAGAACAUAGAGG
Orcinus orca (killer whale) is the source of this 363-nucleotide long non-coding RNA. RefSeq lists it as uncharacterized. The record is from RefSeq and is a predicted model, not a curated record. The transcript is spliced from 4 exons. Lineage: Eukaryota; Metazoa; Chordata; Mammalia; Artiodactyla; Delphinidae.